GUUGUAACCCAAAAACGGACAUGGUAAUUAAUGUGAUUUCUUGUAACCGGCUAUUGGGCAAAAACACUGAACGAAAACAUGUCCAGUAUGAAUGAAGAAUUCAACACACUAAAAAUACUAAAACGGCUACGGACAAACUUGCACCCAUAUGCUUCGAUUCUCUGAAGAAAUGCAGUACGCGCUGCUCGGUUGGAGUAUGAAAGAAUGGUUACCUCUACGGCUACGGAGAUGUGUUACAGUGUGUGGUUAACUAGUGCCCUCCGUACGGCCGUAGGCCCACCAUCCUGAUCAAUAUCGUCGGUACACGCAACUCCUAAAUCUAAAAGGUAAAAAAAAAA
Molecule: long non-coding RNA, 338 nt
Filed under: Sorghum bicolor (sorghum)
Lineage: Eukaryota; Viridiplantae; Streptophyta; Magnoliopsida; Poales; Poaceae
Description: long non-coding RNA (SBIC_LNC005500)
Source: RNAcentral